Phycodurus eques (leafy seadragon) is the source of this 8528-nucleotide RNA transcript. It is a transcript of the gene named leucine-rich repeat kinase 2, with no coding region annotated. The record is from RefSeq and is a predicted model, not a curated record. NCBI's taxonomy places the organism in Eukaryota, Metazoa, Chordata, Actinopteri, Syngnathiformes, Syngnathidae. The transcript is spliced from 51 exons.
GAGGUGUUAAUCCUAGGCGAGCGCUUCUUUUGAGUCUUGUCCCAAACGGGAAGUUGUUUCCUGUUCCUGUGUUGAGUCAUAUGAUGUGACAGGAGGCAGGAACACGCCUGUCUGCCUGUGACUGUCUGUUACAGAGGAGAGGAACCCUACACAACUACAACAGCAAAGACAAAAACAAAAAAGAAAGCAAAAAAGAGGAAGGCAAGCGAAAGUUGACUCAUUCUCUCGGUGAGACAUGCGCGCCGAUGCGGUGAGUCGCUGCCUCUUGCCGGCAGGGCUACAGCGACCGCUCGGCCCGUCGGAGCCUCUUUUCGAGGCUGCCGUGAUCUGAAAGCCCGGGGUGCGUUUUGACGGGAUGGACAACAAUGAGGAGCUGGAGGAGAGGCUGAGGAGGCUCCUGGUAAGGCUCAGGAGCCCCCAGGAAGACCGGCAGCUGUGCACGCUCAUCCAGAUACUCCAGGAUCUGCUCUUCCUGGCGCACACCGACCAUGCAUGCCAGCUGUUUGCAGACAAAGACAUCCACGAGCCAAUCACGGCCGCACUGAUGUCGCACAUAGACAGCAGAGGAGUCCAGCAGGUGGGCUGGUCGCUGCUGUGUCAACUGAUGGAAACGUGUCCGGGUAUGUUGGAGCACCUAAACAUACCUCAGCAGCAGAUCCUGAGGGUUCUGUCGCAGUACCACGCAGACAGCCGGGUUACUAUGGUCGUGCUCCGAGCCCUGGCCCUCCUUCUGCGGUCAGACGCCAUCGCCCUGCUGCUACUGGAGGACGAAGAGGAGGACGUGUUCGGCCUGGCGGUGCAGGCCAUGAAGGCUUUCCCCUUCAGCGAGGAGGUGCAGCUCCAAGGCUGCCGAGCUCUGCAAGCGCUCCUUUGUCGAGUGAGUGACGAGCACCUGGUAGAGUUUGUGGAGAACCAGGACCAUUUGGUGGUUCUCGGCGCUCUGCAUGGGUUCCCAGACAACCCAGAGGUGCUGCUGCAGGCCAUGAAGGUUGUCCUCCCUCUGUCUGGACCCAGCAGUAACGUGGAGAUGUUGAUGUCCGGCAGCGUUCGCUGCUAUAGCGUGCUCAUCUCGGCCAUGGACACUUUCCCACAGGAUGAGGAGCUUCAGGAGACGGCGUGUCGCCUGUUCCGGAGGUUCACAUCAGAGAGCUACUACAACAUCCUGGUGUUGAACGGCGUGGCCCGGGUGGCGUUAAGGGCUUGUCAGACAUUCCCCCGGAACGCCACGUUACAGGCCACCGCCCUCUCUUGCCUGGCAGACCUCACGUCCAGCAUGGUGCAGAGCAGAGCGGCGGCCGAGCAGGGCUUGGAGGACGGUGAGGCGGAGGAAAACCGGGGUGGCGGCUCAGAGCAGGUGGAGAACUUGGACCUGGGCUGGAUGGAGGCCUGCUGCAGAGCGUUGGAUCUCCACGCCGCAGAACCAUGCGUUCAGGAAGCUGCAUGCUGGGCCAUUCACAGUCUGUUGGUGCACGGAGCUGGAAGGAGUCAUCCAGAAGAGGAGCAGGAUGAUCGGACUCCUGUUCACAGACAGCUGAUGGCGGCCAUGUUGCUUCACUCCUCCUCGCCCCGCGUCUUCGAGGCCGCCACCAGUGCCAUCGCCACGCUGGUCACGCAAAAUCCUAAGAUGCGCUCCAUGCUGCUGUCCAGUGGCCUCCACGUCAACGUUGUGGAGAUGAUGAAGAGGCACCCGGCCUCGGUCCAGGUAUCGGUCAGCGCCUGCCACCUUCUCACCCUCCUCUUCCGGGGUAGGACAGCCGGCCUGGACGAGCUCAACAUGGCUAUGGGUCAGAUCCUAAACGUCAUGAAAGUCCACAACUUCCAGCCAGAGGUUCAGCUGGAGGCUCUGUGGGCCAGUCUGGUCUUCCUCUGUCCAGACCGGAGCUUACGGGAGCACGGGACCUCGGUGGCUGACCCUGACAUGGUUGACGUGUCCCUAAAGGUCCUGAAGAACCAGUGUGUGGUAGAGGGAGCACAUGCCGUCUACCUGGAGGUCCUCAACAGGUUCAUCAGGUGUCCAACCAUCCAGGUGUGCGGCCUGAAGGUGCUCUCCGCCCUGGCUGACUGCUCAGGUGCAGUGGACUUGCUCUGCCAACAGGGGGCCAUCGACACGGUGCUCCACACGCUACAAAUGUUCCCGCAGGAUCGAGAAAUUCAUUACUGGGGUCUGACCCUGCUCAGUCACCUGGUAUCCAAGAAGAAGCUCUCCAGGAUGAUUGUUCCCGUCCUGGCCUCGGUCCUGGUGGCCUCCCUGAGCCAGCACAAGGAGGAUUAUGAUUUACUGCUCAAGUGUUUCCAGGUGGCGCUGAGGUUGCUGGACGCCUGUUCAGGAUCAGCUGUGGAGUUGCAGAGGGAAGACUUUGACCGGCAGAUAUUCCAACUUCUCAGAGAGUCCGAUAUUCCCGAGCACUGCAAGAAUCCAUUGCGUCGGUCGGCGUGCUUGGCUCUGUCCAAGAUGUGCGCCAACUCGGAGCUACACUACAGUAUGCUGGAGAAGGCGUGCGAGGACGGAGACACUGUCAUGGCGGAGUGUCUCAUUGAGCUCGGAGCCGAUGUCAACAAAAAGACCAAAACGGAGUCUCUCAUCUACCAGGUGUGCCAAAAGGGAGGCCCUUUAGAGCUCCUGGAGCUGCUGUUGAGCCAAGGCGCCCACGAACAGCACCUCCGCCGGGCCCUGGCCGUCAGCGUGAAACGUGGCGACGGGCCGAUGGUCAUCCAGCUGCUGGGCCGCCUGGGCCUGGAUCUCAACAACAAUGCCCUGUGCCUUGGCGGUUUCCGUCUGGGCCGUCUAGACUCCGCCUGGCUUAGCCCCCUGCUGGCCCAGAGAGGCAGGGCGCACAGUCUGCGCUACAGCAACAGUAAAGGAGCCAGCCUGGCGCGCUACAUUCACUCCUUACAAUGCUCCAGAACCCUGGGAUGUCCUCUUAGGUCUCUGGGGGACCCCUGUCUGACGUCUGGAUACAUCUCUGACAAGAGCGACGACUCCAGCUUCAGCUUCCUCUCCCUGGACGAAGGGCUCUUCCUCGACGACAUGGAGAGUGACGGGAGCGAUUCACUGACGUGGGCCUCCCUGAAGCCCCGCAACAACUCCACAGAGGAGCUGAGGGGUGGCUCAUUCAAGAGGAACCACGAACGCCGCAGACAUGCCAGCGCGGAGAGUUGUCCAAUAGACAGCGAACACCAUGAGCAAGCACACAGACGAUAUGGAAGACACCAAAAAACGUUGGGGUCUCUGGAGAGCUCGUCGGCGCUUCCCAAGGAGAAGGAGAGUAGGAUCCGCUUGCUGGACUUGUCGGAGAAUGAGCUGGACUGCGUGUCGUGCCUGAUGGACCAUGGGCCGGUUCAGCAGCAGCUGGCUCACCUCCUGAGACUCGACCUGAGCCACAACGUCCUGCUGGAGUUCCCUCCUGCGCUCUGUCAGAGUUUAAGCAGCCUUACCCAACUGGACCUGCAGGGCAACCAACUUCAGACCCUUCCAGCACAGCUCCUGGCGCUGCCAGCGCUUGCGACUCUCAAUGUGUCGCGCAACUGCAUCGGCCCGCACCUCGCCUUAAACACGUCAGCCGCCUGUCCGUCACUGCGGCAGCUCAACUUGUCCUUCAACAAGCUGACCGCCUUCCCACGCCAGCUGGGCCGCGCCACCGAGCACCUGGAGGAGCUGCUCAUGGAAGGGAACAGCGUGGCCGAGCUCUGCACACCCCCGCCACACCUCCCCGAGAUCAAACUGCUGGAUGUAAGCAAGAAUGACAUGACGGACAUCUUUCCCAACUUCCUGAUGGGCUGCCCAAAGCUGGAGGUCUUCAACGCCUCCUCCAACAAAAUAGGUUUCCUGGCACAGCUGCCGUCAAAGCUCACCACCCUGAAACUUGCCAACAACAAUUUUACUGCCGUCUCUGAUGCCAUACUCUGCCUACCUAACUUGAGAUCGGUGGACAUGAGGACCAAUCGCAUCGCUGUGUUGCCGGGCCCGUCUUCGUGGGCGUCCAGCAACCUGCGCGAGCUGAUGUUCAGCCACAACAUCAUCGCCACUCUGGAUUUAAGUGGGCCCGUCCACAAGUGGACCCGACUGGAGAAGCUACACUUGAGCAACAACAAGCUCACUGAGAUUCCGCCGCAGGUCGGUCUGCUGGAGGGUCUCACUUCCCUGGACAUGAGUCGCAAUGCCGGCCUGCGCUCCUUCCCUGAUGAGAUGGGCAGGCUGAGCCGACUGUGGGACCUCCCGUUGGACGGACUACGACUCCAGCUGGACCUCAAACUGAUCGGAAGCAAGACCAAAGACAUUGUCAGGUUUCUGCAGCAGCGUCUGAAGAAAGCCGUUCCAUACUACCGAAUGAAGCUCAUCGUGGUGGGGAACGCCGGCAGCGGAAAGAGCAGCCUUGUCCAGAAGCUGAUGAAGAUCAAGCGUUCGCAACAGGCCUCUUCCAGGCAGAUGGCUGGUGCCAUUGUGGACGUACGCGACUGGACCAUCAGGGAGCGGGACAAGAAGAAGAUGGUGCUGAACGUCUGGGACUUCUCAGGUGGCGAUGAGCUGUGCUGCUCGCAGCCUCACUUCCUGUCCUCCAGAGCUCUCUACCUGGUGGUGCACGACAUGAGCAGAGGAGCUCAGCAGCUGGAUGCGCUCAAGCCCUGGCUCUUCAAUAUCAAGGCCGUGGCUCCGCUCUCUCCGGUCAUCCUGGUGGGAACUCACCUGGAUGUGAGCGACGACACGGCGUUCCAGGCCUGCUUCACCAAGAUCCGCGAGGAGCUGCUCAGCCACCAGGGCUUCCCGACCAUCCAGGAGUACUUCACGAUGUCGGCCUACGAGGACUCGGACGCUGUCGUGCGGCUGCGCAAAGCCAUCGCCAAGGAGGCCACAGAUUUCAAGAUCCAAGGUCAGCCCGUGAUGGGCCAGCUGGUUCCAGACAGCUAUGUGGAGCUGGAGCGCAAGCUUCUCCAGGAGAGGACCAGGGUUCCGACGGAGUUCCCUGUUCUCAUGCGGCACCAGCUGCUGGAGCUUAUCCAGGAAAGUCAGCUGCCAUUGGAGGAGGCGGAGCUUCCCCAUGCCAUCCAUUUCCUCAGCCAAGCCGGGGUCUUGUUGCACUUUGACGAUCCCACCCUCCAAAUGCAGGACCUUUACUUCAUCGAUCCACAGUGGCUGUGCAAUGUCCUCUCACAGAAAUUGACCGUUAAGUCAUCCGUCCAGCCCCGAGGAAUAGUUCAGUGCUCAGCAGUGGAAAAUUUUAUGCUAGAGACCAAAUGUUUCCCUGCCAGUCACGCCACACACUACUUGAAACUGCUGCAGAAAUUCCAGAUUGCGCUGCCUUUUGGACACGACCAGCUGCUUGUGCCCAGCAGUUUACCCAAAGACAAGCCGAGCAUUGAGCUGCCUCACUGCGAGAACUCGGAGGUGAUCGUGCGAGACUACGAAAUGCCCUACUUCCCCGUGGACUUCUGGUCCCGACAGAUCAGCCGCUUGCUGGAGGUCUCUGCUUACUUGCUCCACGGAAGAGAGAAAGCGUGUCCGCCUGAAAGAAUUUGCUGGAACCGAGGCGUGUACUUGAGCUGGUCCCCAGAGGCCUACUGCCUGGUGGAGGCGGCGUCGCGGCAGGAAGACACCUCCAGCGUGCUCAAGAUCACUGUGCCCUCCUCGCGCAAAGGCCGGGUGCUCCUGGGCCAGGUAGUGGACCAGGUGGACUCGCUGCUGGAGGAGUGGUUCCCUGGCCUGCUGAGCACGGACGUGCACGGCAACGGAGAGGCGCUCCUUAAGAAGUGGGCUUUCUACAGCUUCCAGGACGGACACGAGUGGCGCAAGAUGCUGCUGGAGGAUCUCUUUGCCUAUUUCGACCAGGACUUUCUUCUGGUGAACCCAGAAGACCCUCGCUGCACCGUUCCCCUCUCUCAGGUCGCGCCGGAUGUGGUCCUCAGUGACCAACCUGCUGGGACCAUCCUAGAUAGUGACGAGCUCCACGUGGAUCUCUCCAAAACCAACCUCCUCGGGAACGGCGGCUUUGGCACGGUGUACCGAGGUGUCUACAAGAAUGAGGAAGUGGCUGUCAAGUUAUUCAACAAGCACGCGUCUGAACUUUACAUCCACAGACUCCUCAGACAGGAGCUGGUGGUGCUGGGUCGCCUGCGGCACCCCAGUCUGGUGGGCCUGCUGGCGGCGGGCUCGGCUCCGCACGUCCUGGUCAUGGAGCUCGCCAUGCUGGGCUCCCUGGACUCCCUGUUCCAGCACAAGAAAGGAAGCCUGAAUAGGAAGCUCAGGCACAGGAUCGCUCUGCACGUGGCCGACGGACUGCGGUACCUGCACUCGGCCAUGAUCAUCUACCGCGACCUGAAGCCUCACAACGUGCUCCUGUUCAACCUGAAGACGGAUGCCGACGUCAUCGCCAAGAUCACCGACUACGGCAUCGCUCAGUAUUGCUGCAGCAUGGGGGUCCGCAGCUCGGAGGGCACGCCAGGUUUCCGCGCACCAGAGGUAGCCAGAGGGAACGUAACGUACAACCAACAGGCCGACGUCUUCUCGUUCGGGCUGCUUCUCUACGACCUGCUGACGGGCGGCGAGCGCAUCUGUGACGGCAUCAAGUUCCCCAGCGAGUUUGACGAGGUGGCCGUGCAGGGAACGCUACCAGAUCCGGUAAAGCACUACGGCUGCUCCCCUUGGCCUGGUUUCCAGGCUCUGAUGAAGGAAUGUCUGAAGGUUAAUCCUCAUGAUCGACCCACGUCUGCACAGGUGUUCGCCAAGCUCAACUCGGGCGAGAUUUUGUGUCUGAUGAGGGAGCUACCGCUGCCCAGGCCCGUAAACGCCGAGUGCGUGGCCGUGGGCUCGACUCUGAGCGCUCGAACGGCCUGGCUGGGAGGAGGCAGCAGCACCCAGAGGACGGGAUCCGUCACUGUCGUGGACCUGGACUCCGACGACGUCACCACGCAGGUGAUCGACACCAGUCCCGUUCUGUGCUUGGUGAUGGUGCAGAUCCCCGGCGAGGCUUCUGAUUGGCUGGUGGCCGGCAUGCAGUCCGGCUCGCUGGUGGUCCUCAGCAGCGAGGACGCGUCCACGUGGUACCGCUUGAACAACGUCACUGACGCAGUCACCUCCCUAUACUUCCAUGUAAACCACCCACGCCUGCAAAGAAAGAGCUACUUGCUGGUUGGCACAGCUGACGGCCUUCUCACCAUUUACGAGGAUUCUGCACUCAAGGAUUUUGGUCAGCCGGUGAAAUCCGUGGUCCUGGGCACGGUCAACACUCCUGUGGUGUGCACGGGCACGUCGUCGUACUCUCCGGACGGGCGCAGCGUUUGGACCGGCUGCGGUACCAGGAUCCUGUCCUUCAGCGCCGACUACGAUGUGAGCCGGAACAUCGACACCCGGAACGUCGUCACGCUCCCGCAGCAGCCGCGCGGCGAGGCCAGCGUGUGGCGCAUGGCGGUGGAUAAGUACGUGUACCUCAGCAAAGCCGGCAUGGCCACCGUGGAGGUUUGGGACAAGAGGAGCGAGCGCAUGGUGGACUGCAUUGACUGCGCACAAAUCAUUCGACACGAGUGCGGCCCCGGAGGAGGGGGCCACUCCGGCGAGGCGGACGCGACCGCCGACGGCUCUCCGUCCUGGGCCCGGUGGGCGCGGGUCAAGUCCCUGCUGGUGGGGCCGGACUCGGCCACGCUGUGGGUGGGCACCCGAGAGGGCCACCUGCUGCUUCUGGAGCUCGGCAACAAGCACCACGCUCUGCGGGUCAUCCCACCGCGAUGCCGCUCGCUGCAAUGCAUUGCCUCUGCAUUCACGGAGACUCUAAACUGGAAGAACGUGGUGCUGGUGUUGGGCAGAAGACGAACGCAGGAGAAGACCGAGUGGGUGUGGACUUGUUUCGCCAGACGCGCAGUCGGUGCUGAUGGUGUGGAACGGCACGCUGCCCUCAGAGGCCAAAGACUUGAACAAACACGGUGAGAGGCGAGAACACAUCGCGGCCAGGAUGAGAGAACAGCUACACAACCGCGACUGAACAUGCAGGAACGUUGAUGGGAAAGGGAUUCACUUGACCGCAGCGAUUUCUUUGAGUGAAAGAGGAAUCCUUAAAUUCUGAACAAAUCCAAAAUCCUAAAAAUAUUGAGGAGUCAUUCUGGACUAAAUGAAGACAAGAGAGAUUGAUUUUAAAGGGACACAAGGGGACACAAGUACUGUACAUCAGGGCCCACGAUCAACGACAGCUUAGUUUUUGUUUUUUUUUACAUUUCCAUUGAUUUAAAACCCCCCCAAAACUUUAGCAUUAGCCACCAUGCUAAUCACGUCAGCAAUGACAGAAAAUAGAUGGUUGGAUGGAAUUUCAAGUUGUGAAUGUCACUCAAAUGAUUGACUUAAUAAACACUACACUGUUUUUAUUAGAAUGGUCUCGUCCCCAUCUAUGGUUGUCAUCGCACUUUUUUCAAGUGUAAAAAUAACUUCACCACUGUUAAAUUAUAACUAAAGAAAAAUAACUCACUCAGGGGCGGGCAAAGUACGGUCCGCUCAGUUCUUUACUCCGACCCACUGAGUAUUUACGGUCAACAGUCUUUAGCCAUUU